GACGAACGCUGGCGGCGUGCUUAACACAUGCAAGUCGAACGGUAAGGCCCUUCGGGGUACACGAGUGGCGAACGGGUGAGUAACACGUGGGUGAUCUGCCCUGCACUUCGGGAUCAGCCUGGGAAACUGGGUCUAAUACCGGAUAGGACCACUGCCUGCCUGGGCGGUGGUGGAAAGCUUUUGCGGUGUGGGAUGGGCCCGCGGCCUAUCAGCUUGUUGGUGGGGUGAUGGCCUACCAAGGCGACGACGGGUAGCCGGCCUGAGAGGGUGGCCGGCCACACUGGGACUGAGAUACGGCCCAGACUCCUACGGGAGGCAGCAGUGGGGAAUAUUGCACAAUGGGCGCAAGCCUGAUGCAGCGACGCCGCGUGAGGGAUGACGGCCUUCGGGUUGUAAACCUCUUUCAGCACCGACGAAGCGCAAGUGACGGUAGGUGCAGAAGAAGGACCGGCCAACUACGUGCCAGCCGCCGCGGUAA
RNAcentral lists this ribosomal RNA (478 nucleotides) under uncultured bacterium. RNAcentral describes it as "partial 16S ribosomal RNA". It matches the Rfam family "Bacterial small subunit ribosomal RNA", at positions 28 to 523 of the family's 1533-position model. The record is from RNAcentral.